CUCGAGGCCAGAUCUUUCCGGUUGAUCCCGCCGGAACUGACUGCUAUCGGAUUGAUACUAAGCCAUGCGAGUCAUUGUAGUAAUACAAGGCAGACGGCUCAGUAACGCGUAGUCAACCUAACCUAUGGACGGGAAUAACCUCGGGAAACUGAGUAUAAUGCCCGAUAGAACAUUCUGCCUGGAAUGGUUUAUGUUCCAAAUGAUUUAUCGCCGUAGGAUGGGACUGCGGCCUAUCAGUUUGUUGGUGAGGUAAUGGCCCACCAAGACUAUUACAGGUACGGGCUCUGAGAGGAGUAGCCCGGAGAUGGGUACUGAGACACGGACCCAGGCCCUAUGGGGCGCAGCAGGCGAGAAAACUUUGCAAUGUGCGAAAGCACGACAAGGUUAAUCCGAGUGGUUUCUGCUAAAGGAACCUUUUGUCGGUCCUAGAAACACCGAUGAAUAAGGGGUGGGCAAGUUCUGGUGUCAGCCGCCGCGGUAAAACCAGCACCUCAAGUGGUCAGGAUGAUUAUUGGGCCUAAAGCAUCCGUAGCCGGCUCUGUUAGUUUUCGGUUAAA
RNAcentral lists this ribosomal RNA (557 nucleotides) under uncultured archaeon. RNAcentral's name for it is "bacterial SSU rRNA". It matches the Rfam family "Archaeal small subunit ribosomal RNA", at positions 1 to 549 of the family's 1478-position model. The record is from RNAcentral.